Molecule: ribosomal RNA, 775 nt
Filed under: Shigella sonnei
Lineage: Bacteria; Pseudomonadati; Pseudomonadota; Gammaproteobacteria; Enterobacterales; Enterobacteriaceae
Description: partial 23S ribosomal RNA
Rfam family: Bacterial large subunit ribosomal RNA
Source: RNAcentral
ACGCCAGUCUGCAUGGAGCCGGCCUUGAAAUACCACCCUUUAAUGUUUGAUGUUCUAACGUGGACCCGUGAUCCGGGUUGCGGACAGUGUCUGGUGGGUAGUUUGACUGGGGCGGUCUCCUCCUAAAGAGUAACGGAGGAGCACGAAGGUUGGCUAAUCCUGGUCGGACAUCAGGAGGUUAGUGCAAUGGCAUAAGCCAGCUUGACUGCGAGCGUGACGGCGCGAGCAGGUGCGAAAGCAGGUCAUAGUGAUCCGGUGGUUCUGAAUGGAAGGGCCAUCGCUCAACGGAUAAAAGGUACUCCGGGGAUAACAGGCUGAUACCGCCCAAGAGUUCAUAUCGACGGCGGUGUUUGGCACCUCGAUGUCGGCUCAUCACAUCCUGGGGCUGAAGUAGGUCCCAAGGGUAUGGCUGUUCGCCAUUUAAAGUGGUACGCGAGCUGGGUUUAGAACGUCGUGAGACAGUUCGGUCCCUAUCUGCCGUGGGCGCUGGAGAACUGAGGGGGGCUGCUCCUAGUACGAGAGGACCGGAGUGGACGCAUCACUGGUGUUCGGGUUGUCAUGCCAAUGGCACUGCCCGGUAGCUAAAUGCGGAAGAGAUAAGUGCUGAAAGCAUCUAAGCACGAAACUUGCCCCGAGAUGAGUUCUCCCUGACCCUUUAAGGGUCCUGAAGGAACGUUGAAGACGACGACGUUGAUAGGCCGGGUGUGUAAGCGCAGCGAUGCGUUGAGCUAACCGGUACUAAUGAACCGUGAGGCUUAACCUUACAACGCCGAAG